Molecule: long non-coding RNA, 8201 nt
Organism: Oncorhynchus tshawytscha (Chinook salmon)
Lineage: Eukaryota; Metazoa; Chordata; Actinopteri; Salmoniformes; Salmonidae
Source: Ensembl
GACUGUCCUCUCCUCUCACAGACCCUCACCACACACACACACACACAACGAGACCCAGGAAAGACCGGGCCUGGAUGGAAUAUAGACUGUCCUCUCACAGAGCGGCACACAGCAGAAACCCAGAAGCAUCUUCUUCGUUGCCCGUUAUCAACGUACAGUAGGAAGUCACAGAGCAGCAACAACAGAGUGUUCAUUUACCUGUACGGGAAAAGGCCCGGCUCACUUAUUCCAUGCUUCUCUACCACUCUCAACACAUAAGAGAUAAUGGAUGGAUUUGAUUCAAUGUUUUUAUUUUUCACCGAAUGUUUUUUUUUUUUUUUAAAGCAAAUUUUAAAAAACCAGAAGCAGUUCAUUGAGUAUUAUUAUUAUUAUUUUGGUUGUAAUUUUCAUCGCUUCAUUUCUUUCAAGGUUUUUUUUUUUAGCAUGGAGGUGUGUUUAUUUAGUCUUUGGGAAAAUGUGUAUAAGAGUAUUCAUUCACCCCAAGUGAAGAAGAAAAUAUAAAAAAUGAUGUUGUACAAUUGUGUAUAAUGUUUCAGUAGGAAAAUGUUUUACAUAAAUAUCCAUAUUUAUUUUUGUUUUCAUUUUUUUAAAUUGCCAAUGCUGGGUUUCCUAAAGCAGGAACAAACACAAAAAAAACCUCAAUAAAAUGCUUCAGAACGGACUUGUUAAAGUUUAUUCUGUGAUCAAUAGUGGGGGUCUUGGAAGUGGUCGGUUUAUGAAAUGAAACCAACGUGAAAUCAGAAUAAUACAAUUAUAAUACAAAACAUUAUGGAGAAACACUUUGUUUCGCAGAAAACAAAUCAUCAUCACAUUUAUUUUUAUUAUAGUAUAAAAAUGUCACAAAAAGGCCACAUUUUAGGGAGGUAAAGUAAAUCAACCUUGGAACAUUGUCCAAAAAAUAUUUACACAACAAAACAAAAAAAACCUCCUUCCCAUCGUUUGAGUCAGAAGACAUUGUUCAACAAUGUGUAUGUUUGUUCACACAUGAGCCAGUUUAGAUUCAGAUAUUGUUGUUUACACAUGAGCCAGUUUAGAUUCAGAUAUUGUUGUUUACACAUGAGCCAGUUUAGAUUCAGAUAUUGUUGUUCACACAUGAGCCAGUUUAGAUUCAGAUAUUGUUGUUCACACAUGAGCCAGUUUAGAAUCAGAUAUUGUUGUUUACGUCACAUGAGCCAGUUUAGAAUCAGAUAUUGUUGUUCACACAUGAGCCAGUUUAGAAUCAGAUAUUGUUGUUUACACAUGAGCCAGUUUAGAAUCAGAUAUUGUUGUUUACACAUGAGCCAGUUUAGAUUCAGAUAUUGUUGUUCACACAUGAGCCAGUUUAGAUUCAGAUAUUGUUGUUCACACAUGAGCCAGUUUAGAUUCAGAUAUUGUUGUUUACACAUGAGCCAGUUUAGAUUCAGAUAUUGUUGUUCACACAUGAGCCAGUUUAGAUUCAGAUAUUGUUGUUCACACAUGAGCCAGUUUAGAUUCAGAUAUUGUUGUUCACACAUGAGCCAGUUUAGAUUCAGAUAUUGUUGUUUACACAUGAGCCAGUUUAGAAUCAGAUAUUGUUGUUUUCACAUGGUAUCUAGUAUCUGGUGUCAGAUAUUGUUGUUUACACAUGAGCCAGUUUAGAAUCAGAUAUUGUUGUUUACAUCACAUGUUAUCUAGUAUCUGGUGUCAGAUAUUGUUGUUUACAUCACAUGGUAUCUAGUAUUGUUAAUCAGAUAUUGUUGUUUACACAUGAGCCAGUUUAGAAUCAGAUAUUGUUGUUUACACAUGAGCCAGUUUAGAUUCAGAUAUUGUUGUUCACACAUGAGCCAGUUUAGAAUCAGAUAUUGUUGUUCACACAUGAGCCAGUUUAGAAUCAGAUAUUGUUGUUUACGUCACAUGGUAUCUAGUAUCUGGUGUCAGAUAUUGUUGUUUACACAUGAGCCAGUUUAGAAUCAGAUAUUGUUGUUUACAUCACAUGUUAUCUAGUAUCUGGUGUCAGAUAUUGUUGUUUACAUCACAUGGUAUCUGGUGUCAGAUAUUGUUGUUUACAUCACAUGGUAUCUAGUAUCUGGUGUCAGAUAUUGUUGUUUACACAUGAGCCAGUUUAGAAUCAGAUAUUGUUGUUCACACAUGAGCCAGUUUAGAAUCAGAUAUUGUUGUUUACUUCACAUGGUAUCUAGUAUUUGGUGUCAGAUAUUGUUGUUCACACAUGAGCCAGUUUAGAAUCAGAUAUUGUUGUUCACACAUGAGCCAGUUUAGAAUCAGAUAUUGUUGUUUACGUCACAUGGUAUCUAGUAUCUGGUGUCAGAUAUUGUUGUUUACACAUGAGCCAGUUUAGAAUCAGAUAUUGUUGUUUACAUCACAUGUUAUCUAGUAUCUGGUGUCAGAUAUUGUUGUUUACAUCACAUGGUAUCUGGUGUCAGAUAUUGUUGUUUACAUCACAUGGUAUCUAGUAUCUGGUGUCAGAUAUCUGGUGUCAGAUAUUGUUGUUUACACAUGAGCCAGUUUAGAAUCAUUGUUGUUUACUUCACAUGGUAUCUAGUAUCAGAUAUUGUUGUUCACACAUGAGCCAGUUUAGAAUCAGAUAUUGUUCACACAUGAGCCAGUUUAGAAUCAGAUAUUGUUGUUUACGUCACAUGGUAUCUAGUAUCUGGUGUCAGAUAUUGUUGUUUACACAUGAGCCAGUUUAGAAUCAGAUAUUGUUGUUUACAUCACAUGUUAUCUAGUAUCUGUUGUCAGAUAUUGUUGUUUACAUCACAUGGUAUCUGGUGUCAGAUAUUGUUGUUUACAUCACAUGGUAUAUAGUAUCUGGUGUCAGAUAUUGUUGUUUACAUCACAUGGUAUCUAGUAUCUGGUGUCAGAUAUUGUUGUUUACAUCACAUGGUACCUAGUAUCUGGUGUCAGAUAUUGUUGUUUCAACACAUGGUAUUUAGUAUCUGGUGUCAGAUAUUGUUUACAUCACAUGGUAUCUAGUAUCUGGUGUCAGAUAUUGUUGUUUACAUCACAUGGUAUCUAGUAUCUGGUGUCAGAUAUUGUUGUUUACAUCACAUGGUAUCUAGUAUCUGGUGUCAGAUAUUGUUGUUUACAUCACAUGGUAUCUAGUAUCUGGUGUCAGAUAUUGUUUACAUCACAUGGUAUCUAGUAUCUGGUGUCAGAUAUUGUUGUUUACAUCACAUGGUAUCUAGUAUCUGGUGUCAGAUAUUGUUGUUUACAUCACAUGGUAUCUAGUAUCUCAGAUAUUGUUGUUUACAUCACAUGGUAUCUGGUGUCAGAUAUGGUUGUUUACAUCACAUGGUAUCUAGUAUCUGGUGUCAGAUAUUGUUGUUUACAUCACAUGGUAUCUAGUAUCUGGUGUCCGAUGUUGUUGUUUACAUCACAUGGUAUCUAGUAUCUGGUGUGAAAUCAGAUAUUGUUGUUUACAUCACAUGGUAUCUAGUAUCUGGUGUCAGAUAUUGUUGUUUACAUCACAUGGUAUCUGGGGUCAGAUAGUGUUGUUUACAUCACAUGGUAUCUGGUGUCAGAUAUUGUUGUUUACAUCACAUGGUAUCUGGUGUCAGAUAUGAUUCCCACAUUGACUGCAUCCCAAAUGGCCCCAUUGGGGACCCAGCCAUUAUCUGGUGUGUAGAAGGAUUGUCAGAGAUAAUGGUUAACUGGAUAGAACAGGAAAUGGCUGGUAGGAGGGACUGGGGAUGGUAUAUUGUCCCUCACUCUGUAGCUUAGGCUCACUAUGGAAGACUGUCUCUCUCUCUAUCUCUCUCUCUCUCUCUUUCUCUGUCUCUCUUUCUCUCUCUCGGUCUCUCUUUCUCUCUCUGUCUCUCUUUCUCUCUCUCCCUCCUCUCUCUCUCUCUCUCUCUCUCUCUCUCUCUGUCUCUCUCUCUCUCUCUCUCUCUCUCUCUUCCUCUGUCUGUGUCUCUCUCUUUCUCUGUGUCUCUCUCUCUUUCGCUCUCUCUCUCUCUCUCUCUCUCUCUCUCUCUCUCUCUCUCUCUGUGUCUCUCUCUCUCUGUCUCUCUCUCUCUUUCUCUCUCUCUGUCUCUCUUUCUCUCUCUGUCUCUGUCUCUGUCUUUGUCUCUGUCUCUCUCUCUGCCUCUGUCUCUCUCUGUCUCUCUCUCUGUCUUCAUAGUCUCCCUGUCUCGCUCUCUGUUGUUAUAGUCUGUCUGUCUCUCCUGCCAUCUCACUCUUUCUCCAUCUCUCUCAGUUCACCACAUUACAGCCCAAGUGAAAUGCUUGACAGGCACUGUCUGUCUGUCUGUCUGUCUGCCGGUGACCAGAUAAAUCUUCUCUUGGUGUAGUUCAAGGUCUCCACAGUGUCCCUUGGCGUGUCACAGGAGGAGCAUGGAGUCGUGUCAGGGCCAAGCUGAUAGGUGGAAUGGCUGACGUCAGGUUGUCUCGUUGUUGUUGUUGUUGUCGUUGAUCCUAUCUAUGGUCCAAUGUGGACAUGGUGUCAACAUGAGGUCGCGCUAUUGUGUCAACUAACAAAAACAAGUGGACUGAAUGAAGGAAGAGUCCAACUGUCAGAGCUGAGUGAGUGGUUAGUUACCUUUCACAUGGGAUACUCCUCUACCAGGAUGGAUAUCAGGGGGCCAUUUGGGAUCUAAUCACAUUCUGUCAGCUGUCGGAAUAACUAGAGCCCAUAUCCCAGUAUUCCUGUUAUUGUUCCUGUUAUUAUUCCUGCUUUUAAGACCCUUCUUGUUCCCAGAUGGGAAACCAGGCUAUCCAGUCCAAUCAUUUAUCCAUCUGAUCACCCUCAACUUCCUCAGGCCAGAUAAGUUCAACUUCCUCAGGCCAGAUAAGUCCAACUUCCUCAGGCCAGAUAAGUCCAACUUCCUCAGGCCAGAUAAGUCCAACUUCCACAGGCCAGAUAAGUCCAAUUCAACUUCCUCAGGCCAGAUAAGUCCAACUUCCUCAUGCCAGAUAAGUCCAACUUCCUCAGGUCAGAUAAGUCCAACUCAACUUCCUCAGGCAAGAUAAGUCCAACUUCCUCAGUCCAGAUAAGUCCAACUUCCUCAGGCCAGAUAAGUCCAACUUCCUCAGUCCAGAUAAGUCCAAAUUCCUCAGGCCAGAUAAUUCCAACUCAACUUCCUCAGGCCAGAUAAGUCCAAAUUCCUCAGGCCAGAUAAUUCCAACUCAACUUCCUCAGUCCCGAUAAGUCCAAAUUCCUCAGGCCAGAUAAUUCCAACUCAACUUCCUCAGUCCCGAUAAGUCCAACUCAACUUCCUCAGUCCCGAUAAGUCCAACUCAACUUCCUCAGUCCCGAUAAGUCCAACUCAACUUCCUCAGGCCAGAUAAGUUCAACUCAACUUCCUCAGUCCAGAUAAGUCCAACUCCUAUCCUUCAGUCCAGAUAAGUCCAACUCAACUGCACCAAAUGAAAGUGAUGGGCAAGGCUACUGCAUGUAGGAUACUGAUGGAGACGUGUUUCUCUCCUUUACCCAAGACCCUUUCUGUUUUAUACCUCUCUCUGUCUGUCCUCAAGAUAACAAACAAAACCAAGGUUAGUCUUGUUUAUGUCUCCUCUCCUCCAUGUCUCAGUGUCUUACUGCAGGUCUAUAAUAUGUCUCCUCCAUGUCUCUGUGUCUUACUGCAGGUCUAUAAUAUGUCUCCUCUCCUCCAUGUCUCAGUGUCUUACUGCAGGUCUAUAAUAUGUCUCCUCCAUGUCUCUGUGUCUUACUUCAGGUCUAUAAUAUGUCUCCUCUCCUCCAUGUCUCUGUGUCUUACUGCAGGUCUAUAAUAUGUCUCCUCCAUGUCUCCGUGUCUUACUGCAGGUCUAUAAUAUGUCUCCUCUCCUCCAUGUCUCUGUGUCUUACUGCAGGUCUAUAAUAUGUCUCCUCUCCUCCAUGUCUCUGUGUCUUACUGCAGGUCUAUAAUAUGUCUCCUCCAUGUCUCAGUGUCUUACUGCAGGUCUAUAAUAUGUCUCCUCUCCUCCAUGUCUCAGUGUCUUACUGCAGGUCUAUAAUAUGUCUCCUCCAUGUCUCAGUGUCUUACUGCAGGUCUAUAAUAUGUCUCCUCCAUGUCUCAGUGUCUUACUGCAGGUCUAUAAUAUGUCUCCUCUCCUCCAUGUCUCAGUGUCUUACUGCAGGUCUAUAAUAUGUCUCCUCCAUGUCUCUGUGUCUUACUGCAGGUCUAUAAUAUGUCUCCUCCAGGUCUCAGUGUCUUACUGCAGGUCUAUAAUAUGUCUCCUCUCCUCCAUGUCUCAGUGUCUUACUGCAGGUCUAUAAUAUGUCUCCUCCAUGUCUCCGUGUCUUACUGCAGGUCUAUAAUAUGUCUCCUCCAUGUCUCUGUGUCUUACUGCAGGUCUAUAAUAUGUCUCCUCUCCUCCAUGUCUCUGUGUCUUACUGCAGGUCUAUAAUAUGUCUCCUCCAUGUCUCAGUGUCUUACUGCAGGUCUAUAAUAUGUCUCCUCCAUGUCUCAGUGUCUUACUGCAGGUCUAUAAUAUGUCUCCUCUCCUCCAGGUCUCAGUGUCUUACUGCAGGUCUAUAAUAUGUCUCCUCCAUGUCUCAGUGUCUUACUGCAGGUCUAUAAUAUGUCUCCUCUCCUCCAUGUCUCAGUGUCUUACUGCAGGUCUAUAAUAUGUCUCCUCUCCUCCAUGUCUCCGUGUCUUACUGCAGGUCUAUAAUAUCUCUCCUCCAUGUCUCUGUGUCUUACUGCAGGUCUAUAAUAUGUCUCCUCUCCUCCAUGUCUCUGUGUCUUACUGCAGGUCUAUAAUAUGUCUCCUCUCCUCCAUGUCUCUGUGUCUUACUGCAGGUCUAUAAUAUAUCUCCUCCAUGUCUCAGUGUCUUACUGCAGGUCUAUAAUAUGUCUCCUCCAUGUCUCUGUGUCUUACUGCAGGUCUAUAAUAUGUCUCCUCCAUGUCUCAGUGUCUUACUGCAGGUCUAUAAUAUGUCUCCUCCAGGUCUCAGUGUCUUACGGCAGAUCUAUAAUAUGUCUCCUCCAUGUCUCUGUGUCUUACUGCAGGUCUAUAAUAUGUCUCCUCUCCUCCAUGUCUCUGUGUCUUACUGCAGGUCUAUAAUAUGUCUCCUCCACGUCUCAGUGUCUUACUGCAGGUCUAUAAUAUGUCUCCUCUCCUCCAUGUCUCUGUGUCUUACUGCAGGUCUAUAAUAUGUCUCCUCUCCUCCAUGUCUCUGUGUCUUACUGCAGGUCUAUAAUAUGUCUCCUCCAUGUCUCAGUGUCUUACUGCAGGUCUAUAAUAUGUCUCCUCCAUGUGUCUGUGUCUUACUGCAGGUCUAUAAUAUGUCUCCUCUCCUCCAUGUCUCUGUGUCUUACUACAGGUCUAUAAUAUGUCUCCUCCAUGUCUCUGUGUCUUACUGCAGGUCUAUAAUAUGUCUCCUCUCCUCCAUGUCUCUGUGUCUUACUGCAGGUCUAUAAUAUGUUUCCUCCAUGUCUCUGUGUCUUACUGCAGGUCUAUAAUAUGUCUCCUCUCCUCCAUGUCUCAGUGUCUUACUGCAGGUCUAUAAUAUCUCUCCUCUCCUCCAUGUCUCAGUGUCUUACUGCAGGUAUAUAAUAUGUCUCCUCUCCUCCAUGUCUCUGUGUCUUACUGCAGGUCUAUAAUAUGUCUCCUCUCCUCCAUGUCUCAGUGUCUUACUGCAGGUCUAUAAUAUGUCUCCUCCAUGUCUCUGUGUCUUACUGCAGGUCUAUAAUAUGUCUCCUCUCCUCCAUGUCUCUGUGUCUUACUGCAGGUCUAUAAUAUGUCUCCUCCAUGUCUCAGUGUCUUACUGCAGGUCUAUAAUAUGUCUCCUCUCCUCCAUGUCUCUGUGUCUUACUGCAGGUCUAUAAUAUGUUUCCUCCAUGUCUCUGUGUCUUACUGCAGGUCUAUAAUAUGCCUCCUCUCCUCCAUGUCUCUGUGUCUUACUGCAGGUCUAUAAUAUGUCUCCUCCAUGUCUCCGUGUCUUACUGCAGGUCUAUAAUAUGUCUCCUCUCCUCCAUGUCUCCGUGUCUUACUGCAGGUCUAUAAUAUGUCUCCUCUCCUCCAUGUCUCAGUGUCUUACUGCAGGUCUAUAAUAUGUCUCCUCUCCUCCAUGUCUCAGUGUCUUACUGCAGGUCUAUAAUAUGUCUCCUCUCCUCCAUGUCUCUGUGUCUUACUGCAGGUCUAUAAUAUGUCUCCUCUCCUCCAUGUCUCUGUGUCUUACUGCAGGUCUAUAAUAUGUCUCCUCCAUGUCUCAGUGUCUUACUGCAGGUCUAUAAUAUGUCUCCUCCAUGUCUCUGUGUCUUACUGCAGGUCUAUAAUAUGUC